Molecule: long non-coding RNA, 465 nt
Organism: Oreochromis niloticus (Nile tilapia)
Lineage: Eukaryota; Metazoa; Chordata; Actinopteri; Cichliformes; Cichlidae
Exons: 2
Source: RefSeq, a predicted model, not a curated record
GUCACGGGAGGUGGGCCACGCCCCCUUUCGCCAUGACAAUAGGACAGACAGGAUACAGCUUCAGCUAUGGUUCGUACGUGAUGUGUUGGCAGUUGCAACGUUAGAUCACACGAUCAUGAAGGCAAGAAGCUGGAUAAUGGGCUCUCUUUACAUCGUUUUCCAUCCUGGAGGCAAUGUGAAGGAUCCCAUGUAUCCGAUAUUACUAAACAAAGACGUCAGGCUUGCAUUGCAGCGGUGAGACGAGCGGAUCGAGUUCUGUGCAAUACCCAGCUUUUUUUUGGUUUGGUCUCCACAUUUUCUUUCCGGCUUUUGUUAUGCAGCUGCAGAGUCUGAAGGUGUGCCGCGUGCAGAAGUGAUCGAUGAAGAUCUGACAGAAGACCAACAACAAAAUCACCAUGUCAUAGAGGCAGUGGACAGCAUUUGUGUUGGAUAAGUGGUGGUUGAAGUACCAGCUGCAAAUGUGGA